Molecule: long non-coding RNA, 794 nt
Organism: Carcharodon carcharias (great white shark)
Lineage: Eukaryota; Metazoa; Chordata; Chondrichthyes; Lamniformes; Lamnidae
Exons: 2
Source: RefSeq, a predicted model, not a curated record
CUGGUCGGAGAGCCUCCCCCCCGGGGAGGGGGCGGGUGUUCGGUGCGAUCUCCCGCGGCCAAGUGCCUAGUUUCACAUCGUUAAGAAAAUAUUCAAAUUUGACUUUCUUGGAACUUCUGACUCAGCAGUGAAAGUUCUUCUAUUGAGGCAAGCCAACAUUUAAUUUGAUAUUUAGAAGCAAAAUGUACAAUCCUUAAAACAAAAGCUCAGGAAACAUGAUUACAAUUUUCGAAGAUAAGGAAAGCCUAAUUGAGUAUUCUGUUUUGAAAUAUCACUCAAUUCAAUGUUGUCCUGCUGUAAGAAGAUUGAAACGAUUGCAGACAUCGUAAAGCUUAUGUUGCAAACACUAUACUUAUGAUUCAGGUACAGUGCUACUAAACCUGUGAAUGGUCAUUCAUUUGGAACAAAAUUCAUUCAUUCUGGUUUAAAAUAUGAUAUGCUGAUUUAUGUAACUCCUCAAUAUAAACAUUUAAAUGGGCUCACAAUCUGUCUCAGUUCUAGCAUUUAUUGCAUAUCAUGGGCAACUGCAUUUCAGAGAUAGCUGUACCAUACAGUGUUAGUAACUGUAUCCUUAGAGAAUGUAAGGUUUACUGAAUGUUUGCUCUGCUUGUUUGACUGUGAAGUAUUUUGUAUAGUAGGAGGUUCCUUAGUUUAUUGACACUUUGAGUGCCCUUGCCAUGCAUAAUAGCAGUGACACUGGCGCAGAAUGUAGUGAAAAUUGAAUUGUAGCAAUUGAAUGCUUUAUGUUGUUAAGUGAACAAAAAUGGGAAAUAAACUUAAAUCUUCUAAAGGAG